GUGACCUCAAAUCAGGUAGGACUACCCGCUGAACUUAAGCAUAUCAAUAAGCGGAGGAAAAGAAACUAACAAGGAUUCCCCUAGUAACUGCGAGUGAAGCGGGAAAAGCUCAAAUUUAAAAUCUGGCGGUCUUUUGGCUGUCCGAGUUGUAAUCUAGAGAAGUGUUAUCCGCGCUGGACCCGUGUACAAGUCUCCUGGAAUGGAGCAUCAUAGAGGGUGAGAAUCCCGUCUUUGACAUGGACUGCCAGGGCUUUUGUGAUGCGCUCUCAAAGAGUCGAGUUGUUUGGGAAUGCAGCUCAAAAUGGGUGGUAAAUUCCAUCUAAAGCUAAAUAUUGGCGAGAGACCGAUAGCGAACAAGUACCGUGAGGGAAAGAUGAAAAGAACUUUGGAAAGAGAGUUAAACAGUACGUGAAAUUGCUGAAAGGGAAACGCUUGAAGUCAGUCGCGUCGUCCAGGGAUCAACCUUGCUUUUGCUUGGUGCACUUUCUGGUUUGACGGGUCAGCAUCAAUUUUGACCAUUGGAAAAAGAUCAAGGGAAUGUGGCAUCUUUGGAUGUGUUUAUAGCCCUUGGUCACAUACAAUGGUUCGGGAUUGAGGAACUCAGCAUGCCGCAAGGCCGGGUGUUACACCACGUACGUGCUAGGAUGUGA
RNAcentral lists this ribosomal RNA (650 nucleotides) under Cortinarius armillatus. Its description in RNAcentral is "eukaryotic LSU rRNA". It matches the Rfam family "Eukaryotic large subunit ribosomal RNA", at positions 1 to 637 of the family's 3401-position model. Lineage: Eukaryota; Fungi; Basidiomycota; Agaricomycetes; Agaricales; Cortinariaceae. The record is from RNAcentral.